This 67-nucleotide transfer RNA is filed under the name Callopanchax toddi. RNAcentral's name for it is "tRNA-Tyr". It matches the Rfam family "tRNA". Rfam says of the family: Transfer RNA (tRNA) molecules are approximately 80 nucleotides in length. Their secondary structure includes four short double-helical elements and three loops (D, anti-codon, and T loops). Lineage: Eukaryota; Metazoa; Chordata; Actinopteri; Cyprinodontiformes; Nothobranchiidae. The record is from RNAcentral.
GGUAGGAUGGCUGAAACAGUGGUAGGUUGUAGCCCUAUAAAUAGAGGUUUAAGUCCUCUUCCUGUCA